UACGGGGGGAGCAAGCGUUGUUCGGAUUUACUGGGCGUAAAGGGCGCGUAGGCGGUCAGCACAAGUCAGUUGUGAAAUCUCCGAGCUUAACUCGGAAAGGUCAACUGAAACUGUGCGACUAGAGUGCAGAAGGGGCAACUGGAAUUCUUGGUGUAGCGGUGAAAUGCGUAGAUAUCAAGAGGAACACCUGCGGCGAAGGCGGGUUGCUGGGCUGACACUGACGCUGAAGUGCGAAAGCCAGGGGAGCGAACGGG
Molecule: ribosomal RNA, 254 nt
Filed under: uncultured bacterium
Lineage: Bacteria
Description: partial 16S ribosomal RNA
Rfam family: Bacterial small subunit ribosomal RNA
Source: RNAcentral